This 958-nucleotide long non-coding RNA is filed under the name Capsicum annuum. RNAcentral's name for it is "long non-coding RNA (CANN_LNC019713)". The record is from RNAcentral. Lineage: Eukaryota; Viridiplantae; Streptophyta; Magnoliopsida; Solanales; Solanaceae.
GCCCACUCUUGUUUUCUCCCUCAAGACCCCAAAACCAGUUACAUCGACAAACAACAAAACAGAGACGUUUCAACAUCGAUAACCAGCCUACAAUGACUCCAAAUAAAAUCGACCUCAACCCGGUCGUUAUAGCACUCACGUGGCCCUCACAUGAUGUUGGGUACGAAGGAAACCCGAGAAUAUUCUAGAACAAGCCUAGGUGUCUUCCCAAACCACGAAUCUCGGGUGCCAUGGUACGAUUUCGUAUAUAUUUGGUAGAUUUUCAUUGUUUCUUGAGGAGGAUUCAUUUUUCCCCAAUUUUAUUGGUCCACCCAUUUCAAAAAUUUUCAAGAAAAGUCGAAUUUAGUACAGGUUAUUGGCUGGGAAUUGGUUCCUCAACUUGAAUUUUGAAAAUAUCCCAUCUUUUUAACUCCCGAAAUUGCCUCCCGUUUUCAACUUUUUCCCACAUCGAUUGAGCACUGAAGGAGGAGCCUAAUCUGCUCCUAUAAAAGGGACUCAAAACUAGAAGAAUGGGUACGUCUCAGAGGGGUGAAAAAACCUUUGAGCAAAAGUAGUCCAUUUUUUAGUAAAAAAAAAAUAUUUGCUUUCGUGAAACUCACCGACUAACUGAAUUUUUCGAGUUGACGGUGGUGGCUGAUUUUGAUGUAGCUCAUAGUCUCGUCUCAUUUUGCUGCUCCGAAAGACCGUUUUAAUUUUUGUUGUUUUCUUUUUCAUCACCUUCUUCUUUAUAAUUUCGUUGUAAUAAUAUUAUUGUUUGCUGGGAAUUGCUCGUUGUAGAAGCCUUGAAAGGCAGUAGGAUUUUUCUUGAGAUGGUUGUUAUGUUGAAUCAAUGUUCAUGUUAUAAUCUGUGUUUCACUGCUGAUUUCAUAUUUGAGCUCACUUCCCCUGAGUUCAAUGUCUCGUAUUAGUAUUGUUGGGUAGUUAUUGAUCUAUAAUAGGAAUCAACAUAUGUUGUAGG